This is a non-coding RNA of Hydra vulgaris (swiftwater hydra), 838 nucleotides long. The record is from RefSeq and is a predicted model, not a curated record. NCBI's taxonomy places the organism in Eukaryota, Metazoa, Cnidaria, Hydrozoa, Anthoathecata, Hydridae.
AGCUUUGCUUGACUAUCUCUUUCGAUUUAUUGAAUUUAUUUGCCGGUUAUAGAUGAAAAAAGAUCUUUUAAACCUCGAAGAAAAAUUAUGGAACAAAGACACCUUAUGAAUCAAUAGUAUAUAUCAGUGAAUUGAUAUUAGUUAAUAGUUUUUGGAAACAGUACCAUGUACUAUUAAAGUUUCUAUUUUUUAAAAUAUAUGAUACAUUUAUAUGAAACAUACAAACAAAUGAUACAAUAUGAUACGUGAUUGACUAUAAUUAUGUUGUAUAUCAGAAUGUUUUAUAUAAAUGCCUAUUACAUUUUAUUGUGAUUUUUAUCUUUUAUGCCCAGUUAGCAAUGCAUUUUGUGUAGCAAUGUCUACUAAUCUCAGAUAUCUAUGACAUCUGUAGGGUGUAUUCACCGCUACAGAUGUCAUAAUCUAUUUAUAACCAAUUGCUUUUACUCUUCCAUAAUGUCAUAAUUUAAAAAGAAUCACAUUAUGGAAAACCGUCUAAUGCAUACACAUGAGGAACCAUUAUACUUUUAGUACAACCAAUUAUAUUACAUUUGUUUUCUUAUUUUAGAUGAACUUUCUUACUUCGGUUCACUUCGGUUCACUUCGGUUGGAGGAGAUGAGAAACAACUUACAGCGGCAAUCUUAACACAGCUAAUGGCCGAAGAAGUAUGCUUUUCAUACUCAGUGUAUGGAAUGAAACAAAAACGUCCUGCAAGGUCGUUAUAAAGUUGCGUAUAGUCGUUUAUCGUUGUGUUCGUUCAUUUCGAAAUCGCUACUGACAAAAGUAUUAAAGAAAAAAUUGGCAGCUUUCUGGCGACGGCCAUUAAUAGAGAUUACGGAA